GACGAACGCUGGCGGCGUGCCUAAUACAUGCCAGUAGAACGCACAGUUUAUACCGUAGCUUGCUACACCAUAGACUGUGAGUUGCGAACGGGUGAGUAACGCGUAGGUAACCUGCCUGGUAGCGGGGGAUAACUAUUGGAAACGAUAGCUAAUACCGCAUAAUAUUAAUUAUUGCAUGAUAAUUAAUUGAAAGGUGCAAUUGCACCACUACCAGAUGGACCUGCGUUGUAUUAGCUAGUAGGUGAGGUAACGGCUCACCUAGGCGACGAUACAUAGCCGACCUGAGGGGGUGAGCGGCCACACUGGGACUGAGGUACGGCCCAGACUCCUACGGGAGGCAGCAGUAGGGAAUCUUCGGCAAUGGACGAAAGUCUGACCGAGCAACGCCGCGUGAGUGAAGAAGGUUUUCGGAUCGUAAAGCUCUGUUGUAAGAGAAGAACGGGUGUGAGAGUGGAAAGUUCACACUGUGACGGUAUCUUACCAGAAAGGGACGGCUAACUACGUG
Molecule: ribosomal RNA, 505 nt
Filed under: uncultured bacterium
Lineage: Bacteria
Description: partial 16S ribosomal RNA
Rfam family: Bacterial small subunit ribosomal RNA
Source: RNAcentral